CAGCAGCCGCGGGAAUACGUAGGUUGCAAGCGUUAAUCGGAAUUACUGGGCGUAAAGCGUGCGCAGGCGGUUCUAUAAGACAGAUGUGAAAUCCCCGGGCUCAACCUGGGAACUGCAUUUGUGACUGUAGAGCUGGAGUGCGGCAGAGGGGGAUGGAAUUCCGCGUGUAGCAGUGAAAUGCGUAGAUAUGCGGAGGAACACCGAUGGCGAGGGCAAUCCCCUGGGCCUGCACUGACGCUCAUGCACGAAAGCGUGGGGAGCAAACAGGAUUAGAUACCCCGGUAGUCCCUGUCUCUUAUAC
RNAcentral lists this ribosomal RNA (301 nucleotides) under uncultured bacterium. Its description in RNAcentral is "partial 16S ribosomal RNA". It matches the Rfam family "Bacterial small subunit ribosomal RNA", at positions 509 to 807 of the family's 1533-position model. The record is from RNAcentral.